Molecule: long non-coding RNA, 222 nt
Filed under: Gossypium raimondii (Peruvian cotton)
Lineage: Eukaryota; Viridiplantae; Streptophyta; Magnoliopsida; Malvales; Malvaceae
Description: long non-coding RNA (GRAI_LNC008806)
Source: RNAcentral
CAAGUGUAUCAAAAAGUACAUAAACUCUGAACAUAUUUUAACCUCAUUAACCAGAUCUAAGUUGUCAAUGCAACAAGUUCAGCAAACGUGUUAAAUAUACUUCAUAUAAGAUUCGGGAUAUUUAACACUCAAAUUAAGACAGGCCCUAAUUGAUAUGUAUGAUACAAAUACUUUGAGUAUUCAACUAAAACAUUUUGAAAAUUAUGACCAAUUUAGAAUCGA